CCUACGGGUGGCAGCAGUGAGGAAUAUUGGUCAAUGGGCGUAAGCCUGAACCAGCCAAGUCGCGUGAGGGAUGAAGGUUCUAUGGAUCGUAAACCUCUUUUAUAAGGGAAUAAAGUGUGGGACGUGUCCUAUUUUGUAUGUACCUUAUGAAUAAGGAUCGGCUAACUCCGUGCCAGCAGCCGCGGUAAUACGGAGGAUCCGAGCGUUAUCCGGAUUUAUUGGGUUUAAAGGGUGCGUAGGUGGCCUUUUAAGUCAGCUGUGAAAGUCUGUGGCUCAACCAUAAAAUUGCCGUUGAAACUGGGAGUCUUGAGUAUGGUUGAGGCAGGCGGAAUUCGUGGUGUAGCGGUGAAAUGCUUAGAUAUCACGAAGAACCCCGAUUGCGAAGGCAGCCUGCCAAGCCGUGACUGACACUGAUGCACGAAAGCGUGGGGAUCAAACAGGAUUAGAUACCCCGGUAGUC
RNAcentral lists this ribosomal RNA (460 nucleotides) under uncultured bacterium. RNAcentral's name for it is "partial 16S ribosomal RNA". It matches the Rfam family "Bacterial small subunit ribosomal RNA", at positions 338 to 795 of the family's 1533-position model. The record is from RNAcentral.